CGGAGGGAAACCGAGUCUUAAUUGGGCGUUAAGUUGCAGGGUAUAGACCCGAAACCCGGUGAUCUAGCCAUGGGCAGGUUGAAGGUUGGGUAACACUAACUGGAGGACCGAACCGACUAAUGUUGAAAAAUUAGCGGAUGACCUGUGGCUGGGGGUGAAAGGCCAAUCAAACCGGGAGAUAGCUGGUUCUCCCCGAAAGCUAUUUAGGUAGCGCCUCGUGAAUUCAUCUCCGGGGGUAGAGCACUGUUUCGGCUAGGGGGCCAUCCCGGCUUACCAACCCGAUGCAAACUGCGAAUACCGGAGAAUGUUAUCACGGGAGACACACGGCGGGUGCUAACGUCCGUCGUGAAGAGGGAAACAACCCAGACCGCCAGCUAAGGUCCCAAAGUCAUGGUUAAGUGGGAAACGAUGUGGGAAGGCCCAGACAGCCAGGAUGUUGGCUUAGAAGCAGCCAUCAUUUAAAGAAAGCGUAAUAGCUCACUGGUCGAGUCGGCCUGCGCGGAAGAUGUAACGGGGCUAAACCAUGCACCGAAGCUGCGGCAGCGAACGUAUCACCCAAGACAACUUUACGGAGUUGACGAUUGACGGAGCGAAGCGACGUCAAAGCGUUCAUUAAAGUCGAGUUGGCUUAGGGAUACGUUCGUUGGGUAGGGGAGCGUUCUGUAAGCCUGUGAAGGUGUGUCGUGAGGCAUGCUGGAGGUAUCAGAAGUGCGAAUGCUGACAUAAGUAACGAUAAAGCGGGUGAAAAGCCCGCUCGCCGGAAGACCAAGGGUUCCUGUCCAACGUUAAUCGGGGCAGGGUGAGUCGACCCCUAAGGCGAGGCCGAAAGGCGUAGUCGAUGGGAAACGGGUUAAUAUUCCCGUACUUGGUGUUACUGCGAAGGGGGGACGGAGAAGGCUAUGUUGGCCGGGCGACGGUUGUCCCGGUUUAAGCGUGUAGGUGUGUGUUCCAGGUAAAUCCGGUUCACUUUAACACUGAGGCGUGACGACGAGGCACUACGGUGCUGAAG
Molecule: ribosomal RNA, 1009 nt
Filed under: Salmonella enterica subsp. enterica serovar Typhimurium
Lineage: Bacteria; Pseudomonadati; Pseudomonadota; Gammaproteobacteria; Enterobacterales; Enterobacteriaceae
Description: partial 23S ribosomal RNA
Rfam family: Bacterial large subunit ribosomal RNA
Source: RNAcentral